UACGGAGGGUGCAAGCGUUAAUCGGAAUUACUGGGCGUAAAGGGUGCGUAGGUGGUUUGGUAAGUUAUCUGUAAAAUCCCCGGGCUCAACCUGGGCAGGUCAGAUAAUACUGCAGAACUCGAGUAUGGGAGAGGGUAGUGGAAUUUCCGGUGUAGCGGGGAAAUGCGUAGAGAUCGGAAGGAACACCAGUGGCGAAGGCGGCUACCUGGCCUAAUACUGACACUGAGGCACGAAAGCGUGGGGAGCAAACAGG
RNAcentral lists this ribosomal RNA (253 nucleotides) under uncultured bacterium. RNAcentral describes it as "partial 16S ribosomal RNA". It matches the Rfam family "Bacterial small subunit ribosomal RNA", at positions 524 to 776 of the family's 1533-position model. The record is from RNAcentral.